RNAcentral lists this transfer RNA (75 nucleotides) under Anaerorhabdus furcosa. RNAcentral's name for it is "tRNA_Thr_CGT". It matches the Rfam family "tRNA". Rfam says of the family: Transfer RNA (tRNA) molecules are approximately 80 nucleotides in length. Lineage: Bacteria; Bacillati; Bacillota; Erysipelotrichia; Erysipelotrichales; Erysipelotrichaceae. The record is from RNAcentral.
GCCGAUUUAGCACAGGGGCAGUGCAAUUCAUUCGUAAUGAAUAGGUCGUUGGUUCAAAUCCGACAAUCGGCACCA